This is a ribosomal RNA of Vigna angularis (adzuki bean), 1568 nucleotides long. It matches the Rfam family "Eukaryotic large subunit ribosomal RNA", at positions 24 to 1888 of the family's 3401-position model. NCBI's taxonomy places the organism in Eukaryota, Viridiplantae, Streptophyta, Magnoliopsida, Fabales, Fabaceae. The record is from Rfam.
CCCGCUGGGUUUAAGCAUAUCAAUAAGCGGAGGAAAAGAAACUAACAAGGAUUCCCUUAGUAACGGCGAGCGAACCGGGAACAACCCACCAUGAGAAUCGGUCACCUCUGGCGUUCGAAUUGUAGUCUGGAGAAGCGUCCCUAGUGGCGGACCAGGCCCAAGUCCCCUGGAAGGUGGCGCCAGAGAGGGUGAGAGCCCUGUUGUGCCCGAACCCUGUCGCACCACGAGGUGCUGUCGGCAAGUCGGGUUGUUUGGGAAUGCAGCCCCAAUCGGGCGAUAAAUUCCUUCCAAGGCUAAAUACUGGCGAGAGACCGAUAACGAACACGUACCGUGAGGGAAAGAUGAAAAGGACUUUGAAAAGAGAGUCUGCGAGUCAACGGGUGAGUCUACCCAUAAGGCGUAAGGAAGCUAAUUGGUGGCAUCCCCUUGUGGGUUGCACUGCCGACCGACCCUGAUCUUCUGUGAAGGGUUCGAGUGAGAGCAUACUUGUUGGGACCCGAAAGAUGGUGAACUAUGCCUGAGCGGGGCGAAGCCAGAGGAAAUUCUGGUGGAGGCCCGUAGCGAUACUGACGUGCAAAUCGUUCGUCUGACUUGGGUAUAGGAGCGAAAGACUAAUCGAACCGUCUAGUAGUUGGUUCCCUCCGAAGUUUCCCUCAGGAUAGUUAGAGCCCGCGGGCGAUUUCUAUCGGGUAAAGCCAAUGAUUAGAGGCAUCGGGGGCGCAACGCCCUCGACCUAUUCUCAAACUUUAAAUAGGUAGGACGGUGCGACUGCUCUGUUGAGCCAUGCCACGAAAUUGAGAGCUCCAAGUGGGCCAUUUUGGGUAAGCAGAAUUGGCGAUGCGGGAUGAACCAGAAGCUGGGUUACGGUGCCCAACUGCACGCUAACCUAGACCCCACAAAGGGUGUUGGUCGAUUAAGAAAGCAGGACGGUGGUCAUGGAAGUCGAAAUCCGCUAAGGAGUGUGUAACAACUCACCUGUCGAAUCAACUAGCCCCGAAAAUGGAUGGCGCUAAAGCGCGCGACCUAUUCCCGAACGUUGGGGCAAGGACCAAGCUCUGAUGAGUAGGAGGGCGCGGCGGUCGCUGCCAAAACCCAGGACGUGAGCUCGGGCGGAGCGGUCGUCGGUGCAAAUCUUGGUGGUAGUAGCAAAUAUUCAAAUGAGAACUUUGAAGGCCGAAGAGGGGAAAGGUUCCAUGUGAACGACACUUGCACAUGGGUAAGUCGAUCCUAAGGGACGGCGAAAGCCCAUGUGAUAGCGCUUUCAGCGCGUACUCCGAAAGGGAAUCGGGUUAAAAUUCCUGAACCGGGACAUGGCGGCUGACGGCAACGUUAGGGAGUCCGGAGAUGUCGGCGGAGGCCCCGAAAAGAGUUAUCUUUUCUAUUUAACAGCUUGCCCACCCUAGAAACGGCUUAGCCGGAGGUAGGGUCCAGUGACUGGAAGAGCACCGCACGUCGCGUGGUGUCCGGCGCGCCCCUAGCGUCCCUUGAAAAUCUGGAGGAUCGAGUGCCUCCCACGCCCGGUCGUACUUAGAACCGCAUCAAGUCUCGAAGGUGAACAACCUCGGGUC